GACGAACGCUGGCGGCGUGCCUAAUACAUGCAAGUUGAGCGAUGAAGAUUGGUGCUUGCACCAAUUUGAAGAGCAGCGAACGGGUGAGUAACGCGUGUGGACUCUGCCUUUGAGCGGGGGACAACAUUUGGAAACGAAUGCUAAUACCGCAUAACCACUUUAAACAUAAGUUUUAAGUUUGAAAGAUGCAAUUGCCUCACUCAAAGAUGAUCCCGCGUUGUAUUAGCUCGUUGGUGAGGUAAAGGCUCACCAAGGCGAUGAUACAUAGCCGACCUGAGAGGGUGAUCGGCCACAUUGGGACUGAGACACGGCCCAAACUCCUAGGGGAGGCAGCAGUAGGGAAUCUUCGGCAAAGGACGAAAGUCUGACCGAGCAACGCCGCGGGAGUGAAGAAGGUUUUCGGAUCGUAAAACUCUGUUGGUAGAGAAGAACGUUGGUGAGAGUGGAAGGAUCAUCAAGUGACGGUAACUACCCAGAAAGGGACGGCUAACUACGU
This 496-nucleotide ribosomal RNA is filed under the name uncultured bacterium. RNAcentral describes it as "partial 16S ribosomal RNA". It matches the Rfam family "Bacterial small subunit ribosomal RNA", at positions 28 to 506 of the family's 1533-position model. The record is from RNAcentral.